This 463-nucleotide ribosomal RNA is filed under the name Vreelandella stevensii. RNAcentral's name for it is "partial 16S ribosomal RNA". It matches the Rfam family "Bacterial small subunit ribosomal RNA", at positions 338 to 795 of the family's 1533-position model. Lineage: Bacteria; Pseudomonadati; Pseudomonadota; Gammaproteobacteria; Oceanospirillales; Halomonadaceae. The record is from RNAcentral.
CCUACGGAGGCUGCAGUGGGGAAUAUUGGACAAUGGGCGAAAGCCUGAUCCAGCCAUGCCGCGUGUGUGAAGAAGGCCUUCGGGUUGUAAAGCACUUUCAGUGGGGAAGAAAGCCUUGGGGCUAAUACCCUCGAGGAAGGACAUCACCCACAGAAGAAGCACCGGCUAACUCCGUGCCAGCAGCCGCGGUAAUACGGAGGGUGCGAGCGUUAAUCGGAAUUACUGGGCGUAAAGCGCGCGUAGGCGGUCUGAUAAGCCGGUUGUGAAAGCCCCGGGCUCAACCUGGGAACGGCAUCCGGAACUGUCAGGCUAGAGUGCAGGAGAGGAAGGUAGAAUUCCCGGUGUAGCGGUGAAAUGCGUAGAGAUCGGGAGGAAUACCAGUGGCGAAGGCGGCCUUCUGGACUGACACUGACGCUGAGGUGCGAAAGCGUGGGUAGCAAACAGGAUUAGAUACCCAGUAGUC